This 3604-nucleotide long non-coding RNA is filed under the name Homo sapiens (human). RNAcentral's name for it is "HSALNT0079302". Lineage: Eukaryota; Metazoa; Chordata; Mammalia; Primates; Hominidae. The record is from RNAcentral.
CAGCCUUCUGUUUCUUUAAAAUCCAGUAAUUUUGCUUGAAUAUGUCUUACUAGGGUUUUUUUCUGAUUAAGUAGUGUUACGUAGGCAGUAUAUUCUUUUUUUAAUUUUUGAUACGGAGUUUCGCUCUUGUCGCCUAGACUGGAGCGCAAUGGCGCAAUCUCAGCCCACUGCAACCUCUGCCUCCCAGGUUCAAGCGAUUCUCCUGCCCCAGCCUCCUGAGAGGCUGGGAUUACAGGCGUGUGCCGCGAUGCCCAACUAAUUUUGUUAUUUUUAUUAGAGAUGGGGUUUCACCAUGUUGGCCAGGCUGGUAAUCCCAGCACUUUGGGAGGCCAAGCUGGGCAGAUCACUUGAGGUCAGGAGUUCCAGACCAGCCUGGUCAACGUGGCAAAACCCUGUCUCUACUAAAACUACAAAAAUUAGCCGGGCUUGGUGGCGUGGGCCUGUAAUCCCAGCUACUUGGGAGGCUGAGGCAGGAGAAUCACUUGAACCCUGGAGGAGGAGUUUGCAGUGAGCCGAGAUUGUGCCACUGCACUCCAGCCUGGGAGACAGAGCCAGAAUCUGUCUCAAAAAAAAAAAAAAAAAAUCUUUUGCAGGUAAAGUUUUCCUAAAUUUCAGUUUUUAGCAUUCUGUGUCCUUGCUCUGAUUUUCUGUAUCAGGGACUUCUUCACCUAUGAUCUUAAAAGCAGCUGCAGUUAUAAUUGCUAACCAUCCAUGUGAUAUAAUCCUUAGUCCAGGCUGAGUUGGCAAAUUGCUGCCUAUGGUAAAUCUGGCCAGUUUCCAUUUUUGUAUAGUCUGCAAGCUGAGAAUGUUUUUUCUAUUUUUAUAGAUUUGAAAAAAUAUUUUACUACGUGUAAAAAUUAUAUGAAAUUCAAAAUAAACAUAAAUAUCCACAAAUCAAGUCGUAUUGGAACAUGAUCAUACUCAUUUAUCUUUAAAUAUUGUGUUUCUGCUUCAAAACAUUUUUAAUCUGUUUUUAAAUAGAGAUGGGGUCUCACUAUGUUGCCCAGGCUGGCCUUAAACUCCUGGACUCAAAAGGAUCCUAUUGCCCCAGCCUCCCAAAGUGCUGAAUUACAGGCAUGAGCCACAGCCCCUGGCCCACUUGCUGCUUUUUACACUACAACUGCAGUGGUGCAGGUGCAGUUCACACUGAGGUGGUGCACUCAUCACUUCACACUGCGGUGCACACUGCAAACUGCAGCGAUACCACGCUCAAACAUUUUGAGUGCCACACAUUUUACCUGUGAAAAGACAUCUUCAAAAAUGAAAUACAGGCCAGGCACUGUGGCUCAUGCCUGUAAUCCCACCACUUUGGGAGGCCAAGGCAGGUGGAUCACUUGAGGUCAGAAGUUCAAGACCAGCCUGGCCAACAUGGUGAAAUCCCGUCUCUACUAAAAAUACAAAAAUUAGUCAGGCGUGAUGGCAUGCUCCUGUAAUCCCAGCUACUUGGGAGGCUGAGGCAGGAGAAUCGCUUGAACCUGGGAGGCAGAGGUUGCAGUGGGUGGAGGUUACAGUGAGCCAAGACUGCGCCACUGCACUCCAGCCUGGGCAACAGAGUGAGACUCCGUCUCAAAAAAAAAAAAAAAAGAAAUACAUAAAAUCUCAUUACAAGUCACUGUUCACAGAUGAAAAUUUGCAACUCAUUUUUAUAAUGGGAAUCACUAAGCUCUAAUUUAAUGAAAUGUUAUUCCCCAUCCCAAAAGAAAAAAAUUCCAUUUUUUUCCUCAUUAGUAGAUCUGUAUUACAGAAAAGUACUCAAUUAUUAUCAUGAUAGUUUGAACUUCAUUAAUAAUUUUGUGGAGAUUUGUUUCCUCUUGUUAUAUGCCUACAUCCCACUUUUGCUUCUUGGCCCACAAGGCCAAAACUAUUUAUCUGGCUUUUCACAGAGAAAAGUUUGCCAGUGCUACUGUAAAUAAGGAAAUAAAGCAUCCAAAUUCAACUGACAGGGUUUGGGCAAAACUUGCAGUGGAGAAAAAGGUUUUUUAAAUUUAUAAAAAUAUAUAUAUAUAUAUUUGAGACGGGAGUUUCAUUCUUGUUGCCUAGGCUGGAGUGCAAUGGCACAAUCUCGGCUCACCGCAACUUCUGCCUCCCAGGUUCAAGUGAUUCUCCUUUCUCAGCCUCCCCAGUAGCUGGGAUUAUAGGCAUGUGCCACCAUGCCUGGCUAAUUUUGUAUUUUUAGUGGAGACAGGGUUUCUCCAUUGUUGGUCAGGCUGGUCUUGAACUCCUGACCUCAGAUGACCCACCCACCUCGGCCUCCCAAAGUGCUGGGAUUACAGGCUUGAGCCACCGCGCCCAGGCAAAAAUAUUUUUAUAUUUAAGUGUGUGAGUCCCUCUGGGCCAAUUCAGCUUUCUAUUUUUUUUCCUUCUUUAAUUACAGUGAAGUAAAAAGGCACAAGUUAGAAAAUGACUUCACGUUAGUUCUGAAAAAAAUUCAGUUGGCUGGACAAGGUGGCUCACGCCUGCAAACCCAGCACUUUGAGAGGCCGAGGCGAGAAGACUGCUUGAGCUCAGGAGUUCAACACCAGCCUGGGUAACAUGGUGAAACCCCGUCUUUACAAAAAAUAAAAAAUUAGGCUGGAUGCCGGGGCUCACGCCUGUAAUCCCAGCACUUUCAGAGGCCGAGGCGGAUGGAUCACUUGAGGUCAGGAGUUCAAGACCUGUCUGGCCAACAUGAUGAAACCUGGUCCCUACUAAAAAUACAAAAAAAUUAGCGGGGCACAGUGGUGCGUGCCCGUAAUCCUAGCUACUCAGGAGGCUGAGGCAGGGGAAUCACUUGAACCUGAGAGGCAGAGGCUGCAGUGAGCCCAGAUUGUGCCAUUGCACUCCAGCCUGGGCAACAGAGCAAGACUCCACCUCAAAAAAUAAAAUGAAAAAAAUAAUAAAUUAGCCAAAUAUGGUGGCACAUGCCUGUAGUCCCAGUUACUCGGGAGGCUGAGGUGGGAGGAACACUUGAGGCCAAGAGUCUAAGGCUGCAGUGAGCCAAGAUCAUGCCAUUGCACUCCAACCUGGGCAACAAAGUGAGACCCUGUCUCUAAAAUACAAUACAAUAAAAUAAAAUAAUAAAUUCACUGUGAAGAAUUCAUUCAAUGGCAUUCAAAAUGACAUUGAAUCAUGAAUCAUAUGGCUCAUGUGCAUUUGACAUUAAUUAAAAGAAAUAAACCAUUAAUGAUUAUACCAAAGUGAAUAUAUCGCCUUAUAAUUAUUAGUCCAUACAGUCAUCAUUAUUUUCUCUAGGUAUAUUUAGGUAAGCUUAAGAAACUGAGUAAAAACUAAGAAAUGAAUGUUAGGAGUAUUGAUCUACAAUCUUAUAGAAAAAUUUUUUUUUCAAAUGCAAGUUCUACUAAUAAAUUCUGAUAAACGCACUUUCUUUCAUUUUGAAUAUUACAGACUGAAUUCAAGACCUGUGAUUUAUAUGAGCACAAUGACAGAUAUAUUCCAUUACCCUUCUAGCCAUGUAAACAAGGGCAUCUUUUAAAGAAAAACGCUUUUAGUGUUCAAAGGAUAAGAAUAAUAUAUUAAAUGGCUUCUCUAGGUUUUUUUUCAACUGAGUCGCCUUGCUUGGAAAGGCUUCUCUAGGUUUUUUUUUGUUUUUGAGACGGAGUCUCAC